AACGAACGCUGGCGGCAUGCCUAACACAUGCAAGUCGAACGAGACCUUCGGGUCUAGUGGCGCACGGGUGCGUAACGCGUGGGAACCUGCCCUUAGGUUCGGAAUAACUCCCCGAAAGGGGUGCUAAUACCGGAUAAUGUCUUCGGACCAAAGAUUUAUCGCCUUUGGAUGGGCCCGCGUUGGAUUAGCUAGUUGGUAGGGUAAAAGCCUACCAAGGCGACGAUCCAUAGCUGGUCUGAGAGGAUGAUCAGCCACACUGGGACUGAGGCACGGCCCAGACUCCUACGGGAGGCAGCAGUGGGGAAUAUUGGACAAUGGGCGAAAGCCUGAUCCAGCAAUGCCGCGUGAGGGAGGAAGGCCUUAGGGUUGUAAAGCUCUUUUACCCGGGAUGAUAAUGACAGUACCGGGAGAAUAAGCUCCGGCUAACUCCGUGC
Molecule: ribosomal RNA, 434 nt
Filed under: uncultured bacterium
Lineage: Bacteria
Description: partial 16S ribosomal RNA
Rfam family: Bacterial small subunit ribosomal RNA
Source: RNAcentral